CUCAAAUCACUGGGAAAAUGUUUCUUUAAAAUUAAAAAUUAUUUAAAAUAAAACAGGUAGGGUAUGUUGCAUACUAUUUAGAGACCCAGAUCUGUAAGACUGAGAACAGACCGUACACAGGAAGCGAUACUUGGAGGCAGGGUCAGACAUCUUGAAUUCCCAGCCAUCUCCUGUCCAGCUAAUGAAAGAACGGCAGGCAGAGUCCAAGAGGAGUUCAAGCAGAAACUGCCACAGUUGCAUUGGCCCUGAGCCUGGAGAGGCUGUACUUCGAUGCUUCACCACUUGAGGGCAGUGUUGAUCAGAGGACUGAGAGUCAGGAGACAAGGUACAAGAUGGAGGUAGGCCUUCUGGAGGUGGGCAGUAGCUAGG
Molecule: long non-coding RNA, 369 nt
Organism: Brienomyrus brachyistius
Lineage: Eukaryota; Metazoa; Chordata; Actinopteri; Osteoglossiformes; Mormyridae
Exons: 3
Source: RefSeq, a predicted model, not a curated record